GACGAACGCUGGCGGCGUGCUUAACACAUGCAAGUCGAACGGAAAGGCCCCUUUGGGGGUACUCGAGUGGCGAACGGGUGAGUAACACGUGAGUAACCUGCCCUUGACUUCGGGAUAACUUCAGGAACCUGGGGCUAAUACCGGAUAGGAAUCCUUGCUGCAUGGUGGGGGUUGGAAAGCUUCGGCGGUUUUGGAUGGACUCGCGGCUUAUCAGCUUGUUGGUGGGGUAGUGGCUUACCAAGGCUUUGACGGGUAGCCGGCCUGAGAGGGCGACCGGCCACAUUGGGACUGAGAUACGGCCCAGACUCCUACGGGAGGCAGCAGUGGGGAAUAUUGCACAAUGGGCGGAAGCCUGAUGCAGCAACGCCGCGUGCGGGAUGACGGCCUUCGGGUUGUAAACCGCUUUCAGCAGGGGCGAAGCUUGUGGUGACGGUACCUGCAGAAGAAGCACCGGCUAACUACGUG
This 465-nucleotide ribosomal RNA is filed under the name uncultured bacterium. RNAcentral's name for it is "partial 16S ribosomal RNA". It matches the Rfam family "Bacterial small subunit ribosomal RNA", at positions 28 to 507 of the family's 1533-position model. The record is from RNAcentral.